ACGAACGCUGGCGGCGUGCCUAAUCCCUGCCAGUAGAACGCUGAAGAGAGGAGCUUGCUCUUCUUGGAUGAGUUGCGAACGGGUGAGUAACGCGUAGGUAACCUGCCUUGUAGCGGGGGAUAACUAUUGGAAACGAUAGCUAAUACCGCAUAACAAUGGAUGACACAUGUCAUUUAUUUGAAAGGGGCAAUUGCUCCACUACAAGAUGGACCUGCGUUGUAUUAGCUAGUAGGUGAGGUAACGGCUCACCUAGGCGACGAUACAUAGCCGACCUGAGAGGGGGAGCGGCCACACUGGGACUGGGACACGGCCCAGAACCCUACGGGAGGGAGCAGUAGGGAAUCUUCGGCAAUGGGGGCAACCCUGACCGAGCAACGCCGCGGGAGUGAAGAAGGGUGUCGGAUCGUGAAGCUCUGUUGUAAGUCAAGAACGAGUGUGAGAGUGGAAAGUUCACACUGUGACGGUAGCUUACCAGAAAGGGACGGCUAACUACGUG
Molecule: ribosomal RNA, 496 nt
Filed under: uncultured bacterium
Lineage: Bacteria
Description: partial 16S ribosomal RNA
Rfam family: Bacterial small subunit ribosomal RNA
Source: RNAcentral